This 202-nucleotide non-coding RNA is filed under the name Bacillota bacterium. RNAcentral describes it as "Firmicutes bacterium T-box sequence". It matches the Rfam family "T-box leader". From Rfam's summary of the family: Uncharged tRNA acts as the effector for transcription antitermination of genes in the T-box leader family. Lineage: Bacteria; Bacillati; Bacillota. The record is from RNAcentral.
UCAAUGACGAAGAACAAGAGGAGUAAAUACAUAAUCUUUUAAGAGAGUUAGUGGAAGGUGCAAACUAAUAGGUAAGUGUAUUGAAGGUAGCUUGGGAGUUAAGUAAUUGAAAGCAAGUAGGUUAUUUCGUAAAAUAUGCGUUAAAUAUUUGAGGUAAUUAAUUUUACAAAUUAAGGUGGUACCACGUUAACACGUCCUUAUU